AAAAGAAAACGAAAAAAGAAAAAAUUAACGGCACACAGUCAACUGGUGAUGUCACCCAUCUGUUUUUUGUUUAUUUUCUCCAUUUUUUUCUACCUUGAU
Molecule: non-coding RNA, 99 nt
Filed under: Platyophrya macrostoma
Lineage: Eukaryota; Ciliophora; Colpodea; Cyrtolophosidida; Platyophryidae
Source: RNAcentral